CAGGGGUAAACCUGAGAAACCCGAAAGGUCGAAAGAGGAAAUUCAUUCGCGUUUCGAUGUUGAAGUUGAGCGUUUGUAUGACGGAUGACGUUUCGGCGUCGUCUGCAUCUUGUGCUUUUCGAAUUGACGUCGAACGCGUGCACUUUUCCUCUAGUAGGACGUCGCGAUCCGUUGGGUGUCUGUCUAAGGCUCGGGGUGGAGCCCACUUGAUUUUAUAUCGUGUGGACCCUCGAUGUCCCGACAGACUCGCUCGACGGUAUACUAAUGGCGCGGGGCCGCUACUUCAGUUAGCGUUCGGCCCGUAGCAAGCAUGUUCUGUGUUUGAUGGCGAUCGGACCUAGUGCCGAUUCUGUCCCGGAGCAACUGUUGGUUACGGUGUUCUCGAACAGACCUCGUUUACGAAACGCCGAUCAGCGACGCUUUAGAUUUGGGUACUUUCAGGACCCGUCUUGAAACACGGACCAAGGAGUCUAGCAUGUGCGCGAGUCAUUGGGAUACAACUAAACCUAAAGGCGUAAUGAAAGUAAAGGUUUACCUUGCGUAGACCGAGGGAGGAUGAGCGGUUUGCCCUUAAAAGUGACCGCUCCGCACUCCCGGGGCGUCUCAUUCUCAUUGCGAGAAGAGGCGCAUCAAGAGCGUACACGCUGGGACCCGAAAGAUGGUGAACUAUGCCUGGUCAGGACGAAGUC
This 689-nucleotide ribosomal RNA is filed under the name Coleoptera sp. NZAC 03013004. RNAcentral's name for it is "eukaryotic LSU rRNA". It matches the Rfam family "Eukaryotic large subunit ribosomal RNA", at positions 386 to 853 of the family's 3401-position model. Lineage: Eukaryota; Metazoa; Arthropoda; Insecta; Coleoptera. The record is from RNAcentral.